AUGCCCUGUUCACACGGUGCCUCCUCUCUUGCAGCCAGUACCAAAGCCCCCUCAGUGUUCCCCCUGGCACCCACCUGCAAGAGCACGGACGGCUCCACGGUGACUCUGGGCUGCCUGGUGAAGGGCUAUUUCCCUGAGCCAGUGACUGUGUCCUGGAACCAAGGCGCCCUGUCCAGCGGUGUGCGCACCUUCCCGUCUGUCCUGCAGUCCUCGGGGCUCUACUCCCUCAGCAGCAUGGUGACCGUGCCUGCCAGCACCUGGCCCAGCCAGAAAGUCACCUGCAACGUAGCCCACCCGGCCAGCAGCACCAAGGUGGACAAGAUGAUUGAGCCCAGUACCCCCAAAUCUGACUCCGGCACCACGUGUCCCAAGUGCAAAUGUAAGUCAGCCCAGGACUCCCCUUCAUCCCAAGGGGGGAUGGGAGACUGAGGGCAGCAUCUGAGAAGGAGGACAGGCUCCACCAGGUGCUGACCCCGCUGCCUCGGUCUCUCCACACCAGGUCCUGAUAACCAGGGAGGACCUUCAGUCUUCAUCUUCCCCCCAAAACCCAAGGACACCCUCAUGAUCUCCCUCACCCCUGAGGUCACAUGCGUGGUGGUGGACGUGAGCCAUGAUGACCCUGAAGUCCAGAUCAGCUGGUUCGUGGAUGGUGAGCAGGUGCACACGGCCCAGACUUCCAGGGAGGAGCAGUUCAACAGCACGUUACGCGUGGUCAGCGUCCUGCCCAUCCGGCACCAGGACUGGCUGAAGGGCAAGGAAUUCAAGUGCAAGGUUAAGAACAAUGCCCUCCCAGCCCCCGUCGAGAGAACCAUCUCCAGAGCCAAAGGGCAGGCCCGGAGUCCACAGGUGUACGUCAUGGCCCCACCCCGGGAGGAGAUGACCCAGAGCACUGUCAGCUUGACCUGCCUGGUCAAAAACUUCUACCCCAAUGACAUCCACGUUGAGUGGGAGAGUGAGGGAAAGCCAGUGAACAACUACAAGACCACCCCAUCCGUGCUGGACAGCGACGGCACCUACUUCCUCUACAGCAAGCUCACAGUGGACAGGAGCUCGUGGCUGAGUGGGAGUUCAGUCACAUGCUCUGUCAUGCACGAGGCCCUGCACAACCACUAUGUGCAGAAGCUUAUCUCCCACAAUCCGGCGCUGCAACCAGACGAGAGCUGUGCCGAGGCCCAGGACGGAGAGCUGGACGGGCUGUGGACGACCAUCACCAUCUUCAUCACACUCUUCCUGCUCAGCGUGUGCUACAGCGCCACCGUCACGGUCUUCAAG
Non-coding RNA from Galeopterus variegatus (Sunda flying lemur), 1272 nucleotides. NCBI's taxonomy places the organism in Eukaryota, Metazoa, Chordata, Mammalia, Dermoptera, Cynocephalidae. The record is from the annotation of a RefSeq genome assembly.